UCUGAUCUUAAAUUUAAGUCUUUUAUCAUUAUUUUUAUAAGAUUUUUAUUUUCAGUCGUUCAUUUUUAGACUACUCGUUUAAUAGGUAAAUGAUGCUGAAAAAUUAUGAAAUUUAGUUUUCAAAUAUUUUUAAUAGUGUAAAUCAAGUCUAACGGAUCGAUCGUAGAUUUGGAAGCUAUAUCAUUGAAUUGGAAGCCAUAUCAUUAAAAACAACUUGGUAGCAUGAGGCCUCCGUGCUAUCGAUAGUAUACCAGCCUAGCUCUAUAUAUAUAUAUAUAUAGAGAGAGAGAGAGAGAGCUAGGCUUGAUAUACUAAUGGUAGCACAGAGGCUUCCGUGUUACCAAGUUGUUUUCAAUGAUCUAGCUUCCAAAUCAAUGAUUGUCUCUGUUAGACUUGAUUUACACUAUUGAAAGUAUUUAAAAACUAAAUUUCAUAAUUUUUCGGCAUUAUUUAUCGAUCAAACGAGUAGUCUAAAAUUGAACGACUAAAAAUAA
RNAcentral lists this long non-coding RNA (494 nucleotides) under Ananas comosus (pineapple). RNAcentral's name for it is "long non-coding RNA (ACOM_LNC039839)". Lineage: Eukaryota; Viridiplantae; Streptophyta; Magnoliopsida; Poales; Bromeliaceae. The record is from RNAcentral.